GUUAUAAGUGCCAAGAUGAGACGUUUGAGAUUCCAGUGGAUGCCUCUGACCCAGCCUCAGGAUGGGGACUCAAGGAGGGCUUCCUGGAGGAGGUGCUGCUUAAAUGUGACCUGAGUAGAGCAGAAGUUAAGCAGCGGCAUUGGAGACAGAACUGGGAGAUGGGGCCGCCGGCUGCAGCCGUACACACUCAGCUGUCACCCUGGGGGACUGGAGUGACCCACUGGAUCCUGAUGCUGAGGCCCAGACAGUGUAUCGGCAGCUGCUCCUGGGGCGGGACCAGCUCAGGCUGAAAUUACUGGAGGAUUCUAACAUGGAUACAACUCUGGAGGCAGACACAGGGGCCUGUCCUGAGGUCCUGGCCCGGCAAAGAGCAGCAACUGCCCGCCUGCUGGAGGUGCUCGCAGACCUGGAUCGUGCCCACGAGGAGUUCCAGCAGCAGGAGCGAGGGAAGGCGGCCCUGGGCCCCCUUGGCCCCUAAGGAAAUGCCAGAGCUAGCCCGGAAGGAGGAGCAAGAGCCAGGGGGCCCUCUUCAGCGCAUCCUGCCCCGGGAGUCUCCUGUCUCCUUGGACCUCUUUGAUUCUGUGGUUUGGAGGCUCCCAGAGACGUGCCUAGUCCUGUGUGCCUUGAGUCCAGAACUCAGGGCAUGGAAGCCCUUUGGCAGGGGCCAGCCUUGCACUGAGUGAAACUUGCCCUCUGGCUUGAUUCAGACUGGAGUGGAUAGGAUAAGGAACCUGACUUAUUUGACUGAGACUGGGGUCUCUACUUCACCAAACUGGCCUCUAUCCAUACCAAGGAGGCCAGCCUGGCCCUGAGCUGCUGGAUACAGCUGGACCUGAAUUCCUGAUGCCCAUGUGAUGUUGUUGCCCCAGAUGGGCACUAAAUGGCCUCACUCCUU
RNAcentral lists this long non-coding RNA (895 nucleotides) under Homo sapiens (human). Its description in RNAcentral is "non-protein coding lnc-DDX54-2:1". Lineage: Eukaryota; Metazoa; Chordata; Mammalia; Primates; Hominidae. The record is from RNAcentral.